RNAcentral lists this ribosomal RNA (481 nucleotides) under uncultured Acidithiobacillales bacterium. Its description in RNAcentral is "bacterial SSU rRNA". It matches the Rfam family "Bacterial small subunit ribosomal RNA", at positions 902 to 1382 of the family's 1533-position model. The record is from RNAcentral. Lineage: Bacteria; Pseudomonadati; Pseudomonadota; Acidithiobacillia; Acidithiobacillales.
CAAAGGAAUUGACGGGGGCCCGCACAAGCGGUGGAGCAUGUGGUUUAAUUCGAUGCAACGCGAAGAACCUUACCUGCCCUUGACAUGCCAAGAAUCCCGCAGAGAUGUGGGAGUGCCUUCGGGAGCUUGGACACAGGUGCUGCAUGGCUGUCGUCAGCUCGUGUCGUGAGAUGUUGGGUUAAGUCCCGCAACGAGCGCAACCCUUGUCUCUAGUUACUAACAGUUCGGCUGAGCACUCUAGAGAGACUGCCGGUGAUAAACCGGAGGAAGGUGGGGAUGACGUCAAGUCGUCAUGGCCCUUAUGGGCAGGGCUACACACGUGCUACAAUGGACGGUACAGAGGGUCGCCAACCCGCGAGGGGGAGCUAAUCUCACAAAGCCGUUCGUAGUCCGGAUUGCAGUCUGCAACUCGACUGCAUGAAGUCGGAAUCGCUAGUAAUCGCAGAUCAGCAUUGCUGCGGUGAAUACGUUCCCGGGCCUU